This 22-nucleotide microRNA is filed under the name Cavia porcellus (domestic guinea pig). The record is from RNAcentral. Lineage: Eukaryota; Metazoa; Chordata; Mammalia; Rodentia; Caviidae.
AGGGGCUGGCUGUGAUCAGUUU